This 635-nucleotide ribosomal RNA is filed under the name Meloidogyne partityla. RNAcentral describes it as "SSU rRNA". It matches the Rfam family "Eukaryotic small subunit ribosomal RNA", at positions 1003 to 1664 of the family's 1831-position model. The record is from RNAcentral. Lineage: Eukaryota; Metazoa; Nematoda; Chromadorea; Rhabditida; Meloidogynidae.
GGCGAUCAGAUACCGCCCUAGUUCUGACCGUAAACGAUGCCAACUAGCGAUCCGCCGAUGGAGUUUCAUUGCCUUGGUGGGGAGCUUCCCGGAAACGAAAGUCUUCCGGUUCCGGGGGAAGUAUGGUUGCAAAGCUGAAACUUAAAGGAAUUGACGGAAGGGCACCACCAGGAGUGGAGCCUGCGGCUUAAUUUGACUCAACACGGGGAAACUCACCCGGCCCGGACACUGUGAGGAUUGACAGAUUGAUAGCUUUUUCAUGAUUCAGUGGAUGGUGGUGCAUGGCCGUUCUUAGUUCGUGGAGUGAUUUGUCUGGUUUAUUCCGAUAACGAGCGAGACUCUAACCUACUAAAUAGCUGAUGCAUAUUUAAGUGCUUUCGGCUUCUUAGAGGGAUUUGCGGCUUUCAGCCGAAAGAAAUUGAGCAAUAACAGGUCUGUGAUGCCCUUAGAUGUCCGGGGCUGCACGCGCGCUACACUGGCAAAAUCAACGUGCUUGUCCUACCCCGAAAGGGGCGGGUAAACCAUUGAAAAUUUGCCGUGAUUGGGAUCGGAAAUUGCAAUUAUUUUCUGUGAACGAGGAAUUCCAAGUAAGUGCGAGUCAUCAGCUCGCGUUGAUUACGUCCCUGCCCUUUGUA